UUUUGGGAAUGUAAUGUAACACAAAACUUCUGGUUAUCCAUUAUAGAUUGGAUUAGAAAUUAUGAAAUCUUCUUGCCUUUUAGUGCAAAAGAGGUGAUUUUAGGUGUGUCUGAGGAUUCUGUCAACAGUAAAACAGUUAAUAAUAUCUUGUUGUUAUUUAAAUACUAUAUAUACAAAUGUAGAUGUAAGAGUGUAUUGCCCACAAAAUAUGGUGGGAUAGAAUAUUUAAAGUAUUGGAUUACAAUAGAAAAAUACUCUGUAUGUUUCUUAACCCCUACACAAAAAAUAAAAAUGGAUCAGAAGUGGCAAUUGUUAGAAGCAGCAUUUAAUUAACAAAAUCAAUUGUAAUAUUUAUAUCUUGUUAUACCAUUAUGAUUUAAUCGAUCUGACAAGUACUAAUUAACUUUUUAUACCUUGUGUCUAAUACUGUAUUAUGUAAUUUCACAUGUUUCAUCUUGAAAAAUAAAAUAAUUACAAAAAAAAACUACAAUCCCUUUC
Molecule: long non-coding RNA, 498 nt
Filed under: Mytilus galloprovincialis (Mediterranean mussel)
Lineage: Eukaryota; Metazoa; Mollusca; Bivalvia; Mytilida; Mytilidae
Source: RNAcentral